CCAACCUAUCAAACAAAAUCAUACAUGUUUUAACUAAAAAUAAAAAGUAUUCUUGUUUAAUUAAUAUUUAUGCUACUGUUGAAAAGAAGAAUCACAAACUUAGAUUUAAUCACAUAAAUUUCUAUUCAAGGAAGUGCAGACUUCAACGAUUUGGCUAAAUUUUCUAGUUCCUUCAACCCUUCCUCUGGAGAUUUUGCUUCACCCAACAAUUUUACCAUAGCACUACCAACAAUGACACCAUCAGCACCCCAUCUUGCUACCUGUUUCACAUGCUCAGGUUUUGAUAUGCCAAAGCCAACUGCUACAGGCUUAGUUGUUGCCUCUUUAAUAUCCUGCAGAAGAGUUUGUACUCGAUCACUUACAGAUGCACGGGCACCAGUAACUCCAACUGAGCUCACAAGAUACACAAAUCCCUCUGAUGCUUCAACAAUGGCUUUCAUUCUUUCUACAGGAGUAGUUGGUGUUGUAAGAAGUACCAGUUCAAUAUUAUUCUUGAAGGCUUCCUUCCUCAAAAGUUCAGAUUCCUCUAGAGGUACAUCUGGGACAACAAGUCCUUUUACACCGCUGUCUUUUACGGUGAACAUAAACUUCUCAAUUCCACGCUUUAAUAUUGGGUUGUAAUAUGUAAAUAAAGCAAUUGGACAGGUUAAUUGUGGAGCCACCUCCUUCAACAUUGAUGUUAUUGCAUCAAAAUUGGUCCCUCUUGCCAAGGAACGAGUAGCUGCUGCCUGAAUAACUGGACCAUCUGCCAGCGGAUCAGAGUAAGGAACACCCAGUUCAAUUAUGUCAGAUCCACAGGAAUCCAGCACCUUCAAGGCUUCUGCUGUGGUUGAAAG
Molecule: unclassified non-coding RNA, 836 nt
Filed under: Hevea brasiliensis (rubber tree)
Lineage: Eukaryota; Viridiplantae; Streptophyta; Magnoliopsida; Malpighiales; Euphorbiaceae
Source: RNAcentral